RNAcentral lists this transfer RNA (62 nucleotides) under human oral metagenome. It matches the Rfam family "tRNA", at positions 6 to 65 of the family's 71-position model. From Rfam's summary of the family: Transfer RNA (tRNA) molecules are approximately 80 nucleotides in length. Their secondary structure includes four short double-helical elements and three loops (D, anti-codon, and T loops). Further hydrogen bonds mediate the characteristic L-shaped molecular structure. tRNAs have two regions of fundamental functional importance: the anti-codon, which is responsible for specific mRNA codon recognition, and the 3' end, to which the tRNAs corresponding amino acid is attached (by aminoacyl-tRNA synthetases). tRNAs cope with the degeneracy of the genetic code in two manners: having more than one tRNA (with a specific anti-codon) for a particular amino acid; and 'wobble' base-pairing, i.e. permitting non-standard base-pairing at the 3rd anti-codon position. The record is from RNAcentral.
GCAUAGCUCAGCGGUAGAGCGGUUGGCUGUUAACCAAUAGGUCGCUGGUUCGAGCCCAGCUG